CGGACGUUGCUCUCUGCCCCGGGAGCGUCGAGACUGGAGCGCCCGAGCUGAGCCCACUCGCGGAGCCGGAGGGCGGCGGCCCGACUCACCGCGGAGGCGCCCGAACGCGUCAAUCUCAGAGAAAACCACCCUGGGCUGGGAGAGUAUUUCUGUUCCUUCUGGGAUUGGUGGUAUGUGUGUGUGCACAUGCAUGUGCAAUCAUGAAUGUACACGGGCAUGUACAUGAAUGUAUACGUGUGUGCAUGCAAGUACACGGGCAUGUAUGCAUGCAUGCAUGGGCAUAUGUACCUGUGUGCACAUAUGUGUGCAUGAUUGUACAUGGGGCAUGCAUGCGUGUGUACAUGGGCAUAUGAAUCUGCACACACAUGUGUGCAUGCAUGUACAUGGGGGCAUGCAUGCACGCACAUGUGCAUGGGCAUAUGCACACGCACACAUGUGUGCAUGCAUGCACAUGGGGCGUGUAUGCAUGCAUGUGUGCUUAUGUGCAUAUACACACGUGUGUGCAUGUGCACAUGUGUGCAUGUGUGUACGUGGGGCAUGCAUGCAUGCAUGUGUGCAUGCACCUGCGUGUAUGUGCACAAUGUGUGUACAUGGGGCAUGUAUGUGUGCAUGCAUGUGUGCAUGCAUGUGUGCAUGUGUGUAUGUGCACAAUGUGUGUACAUGGGGCAUGUAUGUGUGCAUGCACCUGCAUGUAUGUGCACAAUGUGUGUACAUGGGGCAUGUAUGUGUGCAUGCAUGUGUGCAUGCGUGUAUGUGCACAAUGUGUGUACAUGGGGCAUGUAUGUGUGCAUGCAUGCAUGUGUGCAUGUGUGUAUGUGCACAAUGUGUGUACAUGGGGCAUGUAUGUGUGCAUGCACCUGCAUGUAUGUGCACAAUGUGUGUACAUGGGGCAUGUAUGUGUGCAUGCAUGUGUGCAUGUGUGUACGCACCUGUGUGUGCACGUGCACAUGUGUGUAUGGCAUGGUCCAGGGCAGGCGUAAGGCCAGCCCUCUGGUCCCCUCUGUAGGAUCAGCCCUUCCAGCGGCACCAGGUGACUCCUUCCAGGCCCACGGACACAGCAGCGCCCUGGUCCUGAAGGCCGCCACCUGCUCUGGCAUCUGCUGUUUCUUGGGUGGGCAGGCUGCGCUCCACACCUCAGGGUCCCAGGCCCAUCUGGCCCGCACAACCUCUUCUGCAGGGCCACCUCCUCAGACUUCGGGGACAGGUGGUCCAGCCUGCUCACCGGGAGGACUGUUGGAGAACUACAGGUGGUGCCUCUACACCAGACCUGGCUUCCUCACCGCCUGGCCAUGGGGGUCUGAGCCCUCCUGGCCAGGACCCGCGGUCUCCCGCCCUCUGCUCGGGCUUCCUGGUGCUGCAGGAGCUCCUGGUGCUUUCUGAACUCCGAGCUUCCUCUCGCAUGGCUCCCUCCAUCCUUCUCCUCCAUGUCACUUCCACCUGGCUCCCGCAGCCCCGCCCCCAGUGUUCUCCCUCCGCUGCCCACCCCGCUGCCCACCCAGCUGUCACGCUCGUCGCUGGAGCCUGGGCUUCGCCACGGCCUUCCGCUCCUGCAGCUGGCUCCAGACCCGCCCCUCCCAGCCUGGCCGGGCGGUGCUCCGAGGUGACUAACCAGAACCGGCACCGGGGAGGCGCCCAAUAAAGUUUUCGAAAUGAGUAAAUGUGUGUAGUGU
This is a long non-coding RNA of Oryctolagus cuniculus (rabbit), 1670 nucleotides long. The record is from Ensembl. Lineage: Eukaryota; Metazoa; Chordata; Mammalia; Lagomorpha; Leporidae.